AUGUUGAUGUUUUCAGCUGUACAGUGGACACACUGCCUUGGUACCUUAGAGAGCCCUCGAACAGACCAGCCCCAGCACUUGAACAGAGCAUUCCUCUUCAGGGGACGAAAACCAUGGUCCAGAUCAAGAAGCAUAAACGAGGAAAUUGAAAAUCCCGCAUUGUUCUAUUUCCGAGUGAAAAGCUUUGACUCACCACUAGAGGGCACUAUUCACCCUCUCAUCUUUCUGAAGGUUUCAGCCCAGCAGGGCUCGUUUUCAAAUGAAAAUAACUGCAUUUACUAAGGCCGCAAUGUAAGUUGCAUUUAGAACCAUGCUCCACAUUUGAACCUUGUCUGUUGUGUGGAGGGGUAGCAGAGAUGAGGCAGAAAUCUCCUGAACUCCUGCAAGAAGUGAUGUGACUUUCAACGGCGAUAACAAUAGCAUCAGCAGCAAAUCAAAGAUCAGAGUUAGAGUGUCAGUAAGCAGGGGACCUGUGCUCCUCUGGCUCGGAAAUAGGGUAAGUGGGGGAAAUGGGGAGAGGAAACUAAGAAAGGCUAAAGGCAGUGAAAAAGAGUCUUCUGCCCCAAAUAAUUUCACACUCCAGUUUUUCUAUUUGGGUCAAUACAAGUCAUCUUCUAAAAUGAAAAAAAUCCACUAGGAAAAGUAGAUUUUUAACUUCUCUAAGACCAUAGGGAAUAAUUCCCUGAGAGUUUGGCGAGCCCAGGGAGGGAGAUGUCUCUGGAGCUGGAGUGUUAAGGGGUAUGGAAGCCUGGGUAAGGUGACAAAGCUGUGCCCAGCCACAUCCUCGGGCUCUAAGCCACCCUGGGCCUGUGCGGGCAC
This 819-nucleotide long non-coding RNA is filed under the name Bos grunniens (domestic yak). Its description in RNAcentral is "lncRNA (ENSBGRG00000013696.1)". Lineage: Eukaryota; Metazoa; Chordata; Mammalia; Artiodactyla; Bovidae. The record is from RNAcentral.